GACGAACGCUGGCGGCGUGCUUAACACAUGCAAGUCGAACGGAAAGGCCUCUUUCGGGGGGUACUCGAGUGGCGAACGGGUGAGUAACACGUGAGUAACCUGCCCUUGACUUUGGGAUAACUUCAGGAAAAUGGGGCUAAUACCGGAUAGGAGCUCCUGCUGCAUGGUGGGGGUUGGAAAGUUUCGGCGGUUGGGGAUGGACUCGCGGCUUAUCAGCUUGUUGGUGGGGUAGUGGCUUACCAAGGCUUUGACGGGUAGCCGGCCUGAGAGGGUGACCGGCCACAUUGGGACUUAGAUACGGCCCAGACUCCUACGGGAGGCAGCUGUGGGGAAUAUUGCACAAUGGGUGGAAGCCUGAUGCAGCAACGCCGUGUGCUGGAUGACGGCCUUCUGGUUGUAAACCGCUUUCGCUCAUGACGAAGCUUUGUGUGACGGUAGUGGGUAAAGAAGCACCGGCUAACUACGUG
This 467-nucleotide ribosomal RNA is filed under the name uncultured bacterium. RNAcentral's name for it is "partial 16S ribosomal RNA". It matches the Rfam family "Bacterial small subunit ribosomal RNA", at positions 28 to 507 of the family's 1533-position model. The record is from RNAcentral.